CACGUAGGGGGCGAGCGUUGUCCGGAUUUAUUGGGCGUAAAGAGCUCGUAGGCGGCUCAGUAAGUCAGGUGUGAAAACUCCAGGCUCAACCUUGAGACGCCACUUGAUACUGCUGUGGCUAGAGUCCGGUAGGGGAGCAUGGAAUUCCUGGUGUAGCGGUGAAAUGCGCAGAUAUCAGGAGGAACACCAGUGGCGAAGGCGGUGCUCUGGGCCGGAACUGACGCUGAGGAGCGAAAGCGUGGGGAGCAAACAGG
Molecule: ribosomal RNA, 254 nt
Filed under: uncultured bacterium
Lineage: Bacteria
Description: partial 16S ribosomal RNA
Rfam family: Bacterial small subunit ribosomal RNA
Source: RNAcentral